Molecule: ribosomal RNA, 479 nt
Filed under: uncultured organism
Description: partial 16S ribosomal RNA
Rfam family: Bacterial small subunit ribosomal RNA
Source: RNAcentral
ACGUACACUCCUGCGGGAGGCAGCAGUGGGGAAUUUUGGACAAUGGGCGAAAGCCUGAUCCAGCCAUGCCGCGUGCAGGAUGAAGGCCUUCGGGUUGUAAACUGCUUUUGUACGGAACGAAACGGCCUUUUCUAAUAAAGAGGGCUAAUGACGGUACCGUAAGAAUAAGCACCGGCUAACUACGUGCCAGCAGCCGCGGUAAUACGUAGGGUGCAAGCGUUAAUCGGAAUUACUGGGCGUAAAGCGUGCGCAGGCGGUUAUGUAAGACAGUUGUGAAAUCCCCGGGCUCAACCUGGGAACUGCAUCUAUGACUGAAUAGCUAGAGUACGGUAGAGGGGGAUGGAAUUCCGCGUGUAGCAGUGAAAUGCGUAGAUAUGCGGAGGAACACCGAUGGCGAAGGCAAUCCCCUGGACCUGUACUGACGCUCAUGCACGAAAGCGUGGGGAGCAAACAGGAUUAGAAACCCCGGUAGUCCCAUG